RNAcentral lists this ribosomal RNA (1240 nucleotides) under uncultured bacterium. RNAcentral's name for it is "partial 16S ribosomal RNA". It matches the Rfam family "Bacterial small subunit ribosomal RNA", at positions 157 to 1391 of the family's 1533-position model. The record is from RNAcentral.
GGAAGGGUAAUACGCGGCGAUCUGGCUGGGAGACAUCUCCUGUCCAGGAAAUGAAGUUCGCCGCGGGAGGAGUAAUGUCGUAUUAGCUUGUUGGUGGGGUAACGGCCCAGCAAGGCAAAGAUGCGUAGCGUGUGUGAGAGCACGAGCCGCGCCACUGGCACUGAGAGACUGGCCAGACUCCUACGGGAGGCUGCAGUCGAGGAUCUUUGGCAAUGGGCGCAAGCCUGACCAAGCGACGCCGCGUGUGCGAUGAAGGCCUUCGGGUUGUAAAGCACUGUCGAGGGGGAGUAAGACCCGAAAGGGUUUGAACUGUCCCUGGAGGAAGCACGGGCUAAGUUCGUGCCAGCAGCCGCGGUAAGACGAACCGUGCGAACGUUGUUCGGAAUCACUGGGCUUAAAGGGCGCGUAGGCGGGUUCGCAAGUCUGUGGUGAAAGCCUCCAGCUUAACUGGAGAAGUGCCGUGGAUACUGCGAAUCUUGAGGAGGGUAGGGGCAUCUGGAACGGUCGGUGGAGCGGUGAAAUGCGUUGAUAUCGACCGGAACUCCGGUGGCGAAGGCGAGGUGCUGGACCCUUUCUGACGCUGAGGCGCGAAAGCCAGGGGAGCAAACGGGAUUAGAUACCCCGGUAGUCCUGGCCCUAAACGUUGAGGACUAGGUUGUGGACUGAACAUGGGUUCACAGCCGGAGCAAAAGUGCUAAGUCCUCCGCCUGGGGAGUACGGUCGCAAGGCUGAAACUCAAAGGAAUUGACGGGGGCUCACACAAGCGGUGGAGCAUGUGGCUUAAUUCGAGGCUACGCGAAGAACCUUAUCCUGGGCUUGACAUGUCCGAAAGGGGCAGGAAGUAGGGAGCGGAAACGCCACCCGAACGGUAUCCAAUCCGGAACCUGCCACAGGUGCUGCAUGGCUGUCGUCAGCUCGUGUCGUGAGAUGUCGGGUUAAGUCCCAUAACGAGCGAAACCCCUGUUUCCAGUUGCCAGCGAGUAAAGUCGGGGACUCUGGAAAGACUGCCGGUGUCAAACCGGAGGAAGGUGGGGAUGACGUCAAGUCCUCAUGGCCUUUAUGCCCAGGGCUGCACACGUGCUACAAUGGCGUGAACAGAGGGACGCAAACCUGCGAAGGGGAGCAAAUCCCAAAAAACACGCCCCAGUUCAGAUCGGAGGCUGCAACUCGCCUCCGUAAGCCGGAAUCGCUAUAAUCGCGGUCAGCAACACCGCGGUGAUCUGUUCCUAGCAUGCAACUC